Molecule: ribosomal RNA, 254 nt
Filed under: uncultured bacterium
Lineage: Bacteria
Description: partial 16S ribosomal RNA
Rfam family: Bacterial small subunit ribosomal RNA
Source: RNAcentral
UACGGGGGGGGCAAGCGUUGUUCGGAAUUACUGGGCGUAAAGGGCGCGUAGGCGGUCUGUUAAGUGGGAAGUGAAAUCUCCAGGGCUCAACCCGGAAACUGCUUUCUAUACGGGCAGGCUGGAGGGAUGCAGAGGUGUGUGGAAUUCCUGGUGAAGCGGUGAAAUGCGUAGAUAUCAGGAGGAACACCCAUGGCGAAGGCAGCACACUGGGCAUCAUCUGACGCUGAGGCGCGAAAGCGUGGGUAGCAAACAGG